UUAAAUGUUUCUAUCAACUCGCGUAGACCCCAUUCAGUUAAUUUAUCACGAACAAAAUCAUCCAUGACCACCAACGGAAACUGCAACGAGAAGGUCAAAGAUGUGGAUCAAUGCCGCUCCUCCAGCGGGCGUAAAACUCCUUUUGCUCUGCAAAAUGCUGCGACUCCACCCAAGAAACGAAACCUAAGGGAUUCUUGUUUGUGAAACUCCUCCCACGAUGCAUUUCCCGUUUGAGUGAUUAAUUUAUUUUCAACAACCGACUCCCUAAAAGGGAACGACGGUUAGAUAAAGUGGCCUUAUGUUAUUAUUAUUCCGUAUGUCUGACAUGUCAUGGCAAUAAAUGUUUCCUGAUUUCUGA
Gasterosteus aculeatus aculeatus (three-spined stickleback) is the source of this 358-nucleotide non-coding RNA. Lineage: Eukaryota; Metazoa; Chordata; Actinopteri; Perciformes; Gasterosteidae. The record is from RefSeq and is a predicted model, not a curated record.